Molecule: ribosomal RNA, 1400 nt
Filed under: Staphylococcus sp.
Lineage: Bacteria; Bacillati; Bacillota; Bacilli; Caryophanales; Staphylococcaceae
Description: bacterial SSU rRNA
Rfam family: Bacterial small subunit ribosomal RNA
Source: RNAcentral
AGAUCCAGGAGCUUGCUCCUUUGACGUUAGCGGCGGACGGGUGAGUAACACGUGGAUAACCUACCUAUAAGACUGGGAUAACUUCGGGAAACCGGAGCUAAUACCGGAUAACAUAUUGAACCGCAUGGUUCAAUAGUGAAAGGCGGCUUUGCUGUCACUUAUAGAUGGAUCCGCGCCGUAUUAGCUAGUUGGUAAGGUAACGGCUUACCAAGGCAACGAUACGUAGCCGACCUGAGAGGGUGAUCGGCCACACUGGAACUGAGACACGGUCCAGACUCCUACGGGAGGCAGCAGUAGGGAAUCUUCCGCAAUGGGCGAAAGCCUGACGGAGCAACGCCGCGUGAGUGAUGAAGGUCUUCGGAUCGUAAAACUCUGUUAUCAGGGAAGAACAAAUGUGUAAGUAACUGUGCACAUCUUGACGGUACCUGAUCAGAAAGCCACGGCUAACUACGUGCCAGCAGCCGCGGUAAUACGUAGGUGGCAAGCGUUAUCCGGAAUUAUUGGGCGUAAAGCGCGCGUAGGCGGUUUUUUAAGUCUGAUGUGAAAGCCCACGGCUCAACCGUGGAGGGUCAUUGGAAACUGGAAAACUUGAGUGCAGAAGAGGAAAGUGGAAUUCCAUGUGUAGCGGUGAAAUGCGCAGAGAUAUGGAGGAACACCAGUGGCGAAGGCGACUUUCUGGUCUGUAACUGACGCUGAUGUGCGAAAGCGUGGGGAUCAAACAGGAUUAGAUACCCUGGUAGUCCACGCCGUAAACGAUGAGUGCUAAGUGNUUAGGGGGUUUCCGCCCCUUAGUGCUGCAGCUAACGCAUUAAGCACUCCGCCUGGGGAGUACGACCGCAAGGUUGAAACUCAAAGGAAUUGACGGGGACCCGCACAAGCGGUGGAGCAUGUGGUUUAAUUCGAAGCAACGCGAAGAACCUUACCAAAUCUUGACAUCCUUUGACCGCUCUAGAGAUAGAGUCUUCCCCUUCGGGGGACAAAGUGACAGGUGGUGCAUGGUUGUCGUCAGCUCGUGUCGUGAGAUGUUGGGUUAAGUCCCGCAACGAGCGCAACCCUUAAGCUUAGUUGCCAUCAUUAAGUUGGGCACUCUAAGUUGACUGCCGGUGACAAACCGGAGGAAGGUGGGGAUGACGUCAAAUCAUCAUGCCCCUUAUGAUUUGGGCUACACACGUGCUACAAUGGACAAUACAAAGGGCAGCUAAACCGCGAGGUCAAGCAAAUCCCAUAAAGUUGUUCUCAGUUCGGAUUGUAGUCUGCAACUCGACUACAUGAAGCUGGAAUCGCUAGUAAUCGUAGAUCAGCAUGCUACGGUGAAUACGUUCCCGGGUCUUGUACACACCGCCCGUCACACCACGAGAGUUUGUAACACCCGAAGCCGGUGGAGUAACCAUUUAUGGAGC